Cavia porcellus (domestic guinea pig) is the source of this 393-nucleotide non-coding RNA. Lineage: Eukaryota; Metazoa; Chordata; Mammalia; Rodentia; Caviidae. The record is from the annotation of a RefSeq genome assembly.
AUGAGACUGCUGGAUCUUCUCCUUUGCCUGAUGACAGCUCCCAAUGGUGUCCUGUCCCAGCUGCAGCUGAAGGAGUCAGGGCCUGACCUGGUGAAGCCCUCACAGACCCUUUUCUUAACCUGCUCAGGCUCUGGCUACUCCAUCACCAGUGAUAAUGCUUGGAUCUGGAUCCCUCAGCCCCCAGGAAAGAGCCUGCAGUGGAUGGGGCAUGUUUGGUACGAUGGUGACACUAAGUACAACCCGACUCUCCAGAGCCGCAUUUCCAUCUCCAGAGACACAGGCAAGAACCAGUUCUCCCUGCAGCUGAACUCUGUCACCACAGAAGACACAGCCACCUAUUACUGUGCAAGAUAUAUAGUGAUUUCCUAUAAUUAUGUCCAGGCUGAGGAGUAG